RNAcentral lists this ribosomal RNA (580 nucleotides) under Sternopriscus multimaculatus. RNAcentral's name for it is "SSU rRNA". It matches the Rfam family "Eukaryotic small subunit ribosomal RNA", at positions 58 to 601 of the family's 1831-position model. The record is from RNAcentral. Lineage: Eukaryota; Metazoa; Arthropoda; Insecta; Coleoptera; Dytiscidae.
UCUCAGUACGAGCCGCAUUAAGGUGAAACCGCGAAAGGCUCAUUAAAUCAGUUAUGGUUCCUUAGAUCGUACCCACAUUUACUUGGAUAACUGUGGUAAUUCUAGAGCUAAUACAUGCAAACAGAGCUCCGACCGGAGACGGGAGGAGUGCUUUUAUUAGAUCAAAACCGAUCGGCGGCGCGGGCUCGCCUCGCGCGCGUCCGCGUGCGCCGCUACAACUGGUGACUCUGAAUAACUUUAGGCUGAUCGCACGGUCUCGCACCGGCGACGCGUCUUUCAAAUGUCUGACUUAUCAACUGUCGAUGGUAGGUUCUGCGCCUACCAUGGUCGUAACGGGUAACGGGGAAUCAGGGUUCGAUUCCGGAGAGGGAGCCUGAGAAACGGCUACCACAUCCAAGGAAGGCAGCAGGCGCGCAAAUUACCCACUCCCGGCACGGGGAGGUAGUGACGAAAAAUAACGAUACGGGACUCAUCCGAGGCCCCGUAAUCGGAAUGAGUACACUUUAAAUCCUUUAACGAGGACCAAUUGGAGGGCAAGUCUGGUGCCAGCAGCCGCGGUAACUCCAGCUCCAAUAGCGUA